This 72-nucleotide transfer RNA is filed under the name Datura stramonium (jimsonweed). RNAcentral's name for it is "tRNA-Arg". It matches the Rfam family "tRNA". From Rfam's summary of the family: Transfer RNA (tRNA) molecules are approximately 80 nucleotides in length. Their secondary structure includes four short double-helical elements and three loops (D, anti-codon, and T loops). Lineage: Eukaryota; Viridiplantae; Streptophyta; Magnoliopsida; Solanales; Solanaceae. The record is from RNAcentral.
GCGUCUAUUGUCUAAUAGAUAGGACAGAAGUAUUCUAAACCUCUGGUAUAGGUUCAAAUCCUAUUGGACACA